This 21-nucleotide non-coding RNA is filed under the name Arabidopsis thaliana (thale cress). The record is from RNAcentral. Lineage: Eukaryota; Viridiplantae; Streptophyta; Magnoliopsida; Brassicales; Brassicaceae.
CUUUCAUUGGAACUAUGCCAC